RNAcentral lists this ribosomal RNA (877 nucleotides) under Anaerotignum propionicum. RNAcentral describes it as "bacterial SSU rRNA". It matches the Rfam family "Bacterial small subunit ribosomal RNA", at positions 94 to 987 of the family's 1533-position model. Lineage: Bacteria; Bacillati; Bacillota; Clostridia; Lachnospirales; Anaerotignaceae. The record is from RNAcentral.
AGCGGCGGACGGGUGAGUAACGUGUGGGCAACCUGCCCUGUACUGUGGAAUAAUCACUGGAAACGGUGACUAAUACCGCAUGUCAUUGCGAGAGGGCAUCCUCUUGCAAGAAAAGGAUUUAUUCGGUACAGGAUGGGCCCGCAUCUGAUUAGCUAGUUGGUGAGAUAAUAGCCCACCAAGGCAAUGAUCAGUAGCCGACCUGAGAGGGUGAUCGGCCACAUUGGGACUGAGACACGGCCCAAACUCCUACGGGAGGCAGCAGUGGGGAAUAUUGCACAAUGGGCGAAAGCCUGAUGCAGCAACGCCGCGUGAAGGAAGAAGGGUUUCGGCUCGUAAACUUCUAUCAACAGGGACGAAAAAAAUGACGGUACCUGAAUAAGAAGCCCCGGCUAACUACGUGCCAGCAGCCGCGGUAAUACGUAGGGGGCAAGCGUUAUCCGGAAUUACUGGGUGUAAAGGGAGAGUAGGCGGCAUGGUAAGUUAGAUGUGAAAGCCCGAGGCUUAACCUCGGGAUUGCAUUUAAAACUAUCAAGCUAGAGUACAGGAGAGGUAAGUGGAAUUCCUAGUGUAGCGGUGAAAUGCGUAGAUAUUAGGAAGAACACCAGUGGCGAAGGCGACUUACUGGACUGAAACUGACGCUGAGGCUCGAAAGCGUGGGGAGCGAACAGGAUUAGAUACCCUGGUAGUCCACGCCGUAAACGAUGAGUGCUAGGUGUCGGGGGGGAACCCUCGGUGCCGCAGCUAACGCAAUAAGCACUCCACCUGGGGAGUACGAUCGCAAGAUUGAAACUCAAAGGAAUUGACGGGGGCCCGCACAAGCGGUGGAGCAUGUGGUUUAAUUCGAAGCAACGCGAAGAACCUUACCAAGGCUUGACAU